RNAcentral lists this ribosomal RNA (500 nucleotides) under uncultured bacterium. RNAcentral describes it as "partial 16S ribosomal RNA". It matches the Rfam family "Bacterial small subunit ribosomal RNA", at positions 30 to 523 of the family's 1533-position model. The record is from RNAcentral.
AUUGAACGCUAGCGGCAUGCCUUACACAUGCAAGUCGAACGGCAGCACGGGAGCAAUCCUGGUGGCGAGUGGCGAACGGGUGAGUAAAGUAUCGGAACGUGCCCAGUCGUGGGGGAUGACGUAGCGAAAGUUACGCUAAUACCGCAUACGAUCUAUGGAUGAAAGCGGGGGAUCGCAAGACCUCGCGCGAUUGGAGCGGCCGAUAUCAGACUAGGUAGUUGGUGGGGUAAAGGCUCACCAAGCCGACGAUCUGUAGCUGGUCUGAGAGGACGACCAGCCACACUGGGACUGAGACACGGCCCAGACUCCUACGGGAGGCAGCAGUGGGGAAUUUUGGACAAUGGGCGAAAGCCUGAUCCAGCCAUGCCGCGUGCAGGAUGAAGGCCUUCGGGUUGCAAACUGCUUUUGUACGGAACGAAAAGGUUUGGCCUAAUAAGCUGAGCUCAUGACGGUACCGUAAGAAUAAGCACCGGCUAACUACGUGCCAGCAGCCGCAGUAA